GAGUGCGGAUCAAGCGGUUA
RNAcentral lists this non-coding RNA (20 nucleotides) under Arabidopsis thaliana (thale cress). Lineage: Eukaryota; Viridiplantae; Streptophyta; Magnoliopsida; Brassicales; Brassicaceae. The record is from RNAcentral.